GACGAACGCUGGCGGCGUGCUUAACACAUGCAAGUCGAACGGAAAGGCGCUGCUUUUGUGGGGUGCUCGAGUGGCGAACGGGUGAGUAACACGUGAGUAACCUGCCCUUGACUUUGGGAUAACUUCAGGAAACUGGGGCUAAUACCGGAUAGGAGCUCCUGCUGCAUGGUGGGGAUGGGAAGAUUCGGCGGUUGGGGCUGGUCUUGCGGCUUAUCAGCUUGUUUGUGGGGGAGGGGCUUACCAAGGCUUUGACGGGUAGCCGGCCUGAGAGGGUGACCGGGCACAAGAGGACUGAGAUACGCCGCAGACUCGUACGGGAGGCAGCAGUGGGGAAUAUUACACAAUGGGCGGAAGCCUGAGGCGACAACGCCCCGUGCGGAAUGCCGUCCUACGGGUUGUAAACCGCUUUCGCCUGUGACGAAGCGUGAGUGACGGUAAUGGGUAAAAAAGCACCGGCUAACUACGUG
RNAcentral lists this ribosomal RNA (467 nucleotides) under uncultured bacterium. RNAcentral describes it as "partial 16S ribosomal RNA". It matches the Rfam family "Bacterial small subunit ribosomal RNA", at positions 28 to 507 of the family's 1533-position model. The record is from RNAcentral.